MicroRNA from Caenorhabditis elegans, 23 nucleotides. The record is from Ensembl. NCBI's taxonomy places the organism in Eukaryota, Metazoa, Nematoda, Chromadorea, Rhabditida, Rhabditidae.
CUUUGGUGAUUCAGCUUCAAUGA